GAAUAGAGAAUCUAGCAGAUGGUUGCCGUGCCUCCCUCUGUGACAGGUGGGAUAGAAUCAUCUGCAUGAGCACAUCGCUAAAGGUCUUCUUUUUCAUGGGCACAUUUAUUGGCAUACUGUAGAAUGAGCCCUGUACAUUCAAAUAGCAGAGUCGGCCCAGCCCAGAACAGCUCUGGAAAGGAAGACCUUGGCCUUGGCUGUGCCUCACUUAUGACAACAGAGCUGCCCCUCAUCAAAAAGAGGAAAAGGAGAGAAAAUCAGAAAUGCCUGGUCAAAAGCGAAGGUGGGGCAAGCAGACCUGAAGCUAGUCCUUGGGGUAAAUAGUGUUCCUGGAGUUGUGCAGUGGGCAAGUUCUGAGCCCACCUUUGCUGGGGAGGCUCUGGAGCGACAGGCACAGCGAUGGACCCAGGAUGUGAGCUUUCCAGCCUCCGAGCAACUUGGCAUCUGUAUGAGAAAACCCAGUCAGCCCUCAUCUCAGAUGCAGGUGCAACACAUAUGGCCGUCAAGCUGGGCAGACCUGAGUUUGAAUCCUGAGCCUACCGCUCGUUAACUGUUAGACCCUGAAAAAGUGCCUCAACCUCUCUUGAGCCUCCACUUUCCAUACCUGUCAUGUUUAUUUAACAAUACCUACCUCUCAGCAUUUUCAUGAAAGUUUUAAGAUGAUAUUAUUAUGAGUAGCAGCUGUAUAACAGUAAUAAUAACUCAUGUAUACUGAGUGUAUUUAUAUGCCCUGUACUAUGCUGAGAACUUUACAUACAUUACCACAUUACCUGACUUAACCUUCAAAACACCUCUCUGAAGAAUUGCUGUUACAUAACAGCCCCAUUUUACCUGCAAGAAAUGGAAGCUCAGAGUUCUUUGUUGCCCAGGUCACGUGGUUAGCAAAUAGAGUCAGGGUCAGAAUUUGAACCCUGGUCUGCGUGCACCUCCAGCCCACCAAUAUGAGUCUUAAUGAACAAAGUACCUACCAUAUAGUAGACCCUUAACAAAUGGGAGUUCGAGUCCUUUCUUUCUCCCCUAAAUGCACAGAUUUUCACAGUGCCCUCUGAGAUUUGCUUUAGAGCUUGCCCACAUGGAGUUUUCAGAAAGUCAGGAGAAAGCGAGGUGGUGGGUGCAUCCCCCGAUCCAGGGCCCCCUCCCUCCCCCCGCUCAGCCUUCCUUCCUUUUAGGGUUUGGCAAAGGCUGCUUCACUCGAGGCCUCUCAUGGAGCUGGAAACAAUGCGAGUUUAUUUUGGCACGGCAAAGAGGGCCCGAUUCCCCUUCUCUGGACGCCUCUGUGGGAAGAGGACUAGAGAAUGUGGCCCAGGCCGCUGUCAGUUCCCGUUACUCUCCCCAGCACGUCCACGGCCGAGUCACAGCCAUCACAUGUAGCUCUGAGAAGGAAAUGAGAUAAGAGCUUUCUUUCCACUUCAGACUGAUCAUAAAAUUUCCCCUCCUCUCUCCACGCUCCCCCACAAAAAGAAGUUGAACCAAGGACAUGGUGCUGCCGUUAAACUGAAUACUCUUGGCAGAUCUCUUCUCAGUCCUGUGGGGACAUCCUCACCUGGGUAUUUGGCUACCUGUGGCAGAUACGAUAAGCAGGGCCCAUGGCCAGUGUGGUGAUGGAAGUCAUAGACACUCAGAGUGGCAAGGGACUGUCACUGUCCUCUGAUCCCAGCCCCUACCUGGCUUAGAUUCAGAUUCAGCCAGUAUUUAUCAGAUGCCAACCCUGGGCCAAGCCAGGAGUGCUUUUGCAUCUGUUAUUUCAUAUUUCAGAAUCCACGCAAUGUUCUUUGGAAAGGCCUUACUUUCCCAUCUUUACAAAUGUGGAAACUGUGGCUCAGAGAGGUCAAGUAGUUGGCUCAAGAUCAUGACGUGAGUAGGUCAGUGGUAGCACUAGGAUAUGGUCUUCCAGCUCUGAGACCAAGCCCUGUCUGUCCCAGGCACAGGAGGAGUCUCUUCUACAACACUCCAGGUAGAAGAUUCAUCCAGACUUUGAAUUCCUUGGGUGUUCCUUAUUUCUAAGGAAAGUCUCAUCUAAAAUGUUUUUAGGGGUUGAACUAAAACCUACCUCUCUGUCACUUUCAUCUAUGGGUCCUAUAAGUCCUAAAUCUAACUCCAGGCAAACGGAAGAAAGCCAGAGCUCUGCCCUUGGCCAUGUCUGUUCUUCAGAGAUGAGAAGAUGGCCCCAGAUGACCCUUGGCUGCCCCACCCCUGUCCUAGAACCAGCCCUGCCACUUCCUAAAUGUGGACUCAUUUCUUAACAUCUCUGAGUUGCCAUCAGAUGGGGGCGAUUGUGUCUACGUUGCCAGAUGGCUGAGGGACUCAAUGAGAGGAUGUCUCAAAUGCAAUUCCCCCAGAGCCUGCACACAAUUAGCUCUCAGCCAAUGGCAGCUAUUGUUGUUUUAUCGUCAAUAGUAUUUAACCUCUCCAAACCUUGGCUCCUUUUCUAUGGAGUGGGAAUUAUAAUACCUACUUUCGUUUCCCCCAUCAACGCAAGUAGGCAUUCCAAUAAUACCAACUUCACAUGUCUGGGAGGAACGCACAAUGAUGCAGGCAGAGAGGGCUCAGAAACUAUGAAAAGCAGGUCACGUGCUCUGGCACCCUGGCUGCCUUUUUGGGGAGCCUGUUUCCUGAGCCUUCUGUCCUUCACCAGAAUUUUCAGGGUUGUGAUGUUUUUCUCUUCAAAAGCAUCUCCUCUGUAGCCCACUCCCCACCCCCAACAAACUUUUUUAAGCCAAAGAGAAAAAAAAAAAAACCAUACAAAUAGACAAGUGUUUAGUUGGCCAGGUGCAGUGGCUCACGCCUGUAAUCCCAGCACUUUGGGAGGCUGAGGCAGGUGGAUCUCUUGAGGUCAGGAGUUUGAGACCAGCCUGACCAACAUGGUGAAACCCUGUCUCUACUAAAAAUACAAAAAAAGUAGCCGAGUGUGGUGGUGGAUGCCUGUAAUCCCAGCUACUUGGGAGGCUGAGGUGGGAGAAUUGCUUGAACCUGGGAGGUGGAGGUUGCAGUGAGCCGAGAUCAUGCCACUGCACUCCAGCCUGGGUGACAGAGUGAGACUCCGUCUCCAAAAACCAAAAACCAAAACAAAACCAAAAGAAAAGUGUUUUGUCUCUUUUUUGCCUCUGCAUGCACCCUGGGGUCAGCUGGAGUCUUCCCACCCUUUACAAUAUAACAAGGGUGAUUCAAAUCCCCCAUCCUGGAGGUGGUAAAACUCAAAAGACAGUUGAGGGUAGAAGAUGAAAUGGCACGCAUCUCAAAGAUAGAGAGCAGAGAAGGUGUGCAGGUGCGGAAAGGACUGCUAGUGUCCACAGGGAACCCAAGGCCACUGACCUGGAGGGUGGGAGAGAAAUGGGCGGGAAUCGGAGGAUGUUGGGAGAGGGAGGAAGGUGGCCCACACCUCAGCUGGGAGGCCCUAUUGGAGUGCACGGGCCCCUUUGCUUGAAAUCCAGGAGAAGGGGGCUCCUGAGGCUAGAAUUUGUGUAGUUCUUAAAAGUUUUCAGAAGCACAUUUUCCCCUGUAGAUUCUUUCCUGGAACAAUCCCACCAAGCCUGCAAAGUAAGGAAGGAAAUUGAACACGCCCCUCCUGAGCUCCUCAGGUGCACCUCGUGCUGCUGUCCCGGGGCCAUCUCCCAACUCCUCCCAACCCCUCAUAGCCCUGCUCUGGAGCAGGUAAAUAUUCCUCACGCCAGCAGGUGAGGAGGCUGGGGCCAGAUGACUGCUAGUGAGGGAGCAGAGACAAGACAGGCGAGCCUGUGACAGAGCGAGACCCUGUCUCAAAAAACAAAAACAAGACAUGUGAGCUUGGACUCCAGUGUGGAAUCCCAUGUCCGCUCAGUGCACCUUUCUCCCGCUGAAAGUACAAGAGGAGAGGGGAAACCCACAGGUGGAGCUGACCAUGAGGACUGUCACAGGUGAGCUCAGGGGCUUGGGCGCCACCCCACAGGCCAUGGGGGGCUGCUGACCAACUCUGGGAGUGACAUCAUGAGGAAUGUGGCAUUUUAGGACAGUUGCCUUCUUAAUGAAGAGGACUCUUCUGAGUCUGGUGUAGCCAGGGGUAGCAGGAGCCAGCUGACAUGGGUAUGAGGGCUACUCCCUGACCCUCUCGGGAGGGUGUUACUAGCAGCAGCCACUGCAGCGCUGAGCCCCAGAAACACCACUGUGGAGGCUUACAGUGCCUUCUCGGAGCUACCCAGCUUUCCUUCACCAGGGGCUGGUCCUUGGUUCCCACCUGCUGCCAUUCUUCCAGCUUUGAGAGGCAAACCCAGAAAUCAGCCCUCCAGCUUCCUCUACCAAGAAGACUGGCAGUUACAACCCUGGCUCUGUGGGGCUUCUCUUGCCCUCUCUUCUGACUGCCCCACUUGGCUCCAGGUGAGGGUGAGAGGAAGCUGGAGAUGGAAGAUGCAGCUGGGGGAACUCACCAGGCAGGUCUCAGGUGAGAAGGGUGGGUGGGGAACCCGGCCCUGGCCCAGAGAACUGGAACUGUCCAGCAACCCUGGGGAAGGUGAAAAACCACCACUGAGUAGGCAGUGACCUGUUGGGUGUCGGUGAGGGGAGCCCAUGGGCUGCAAAAGGCACAUUGGGGUCUCCCUCUUCCCAUUCACACUUCACCCUCCAGUCACCCCAGCUUGGCCCAGGGCCAGGCAGGGGAGGCGCUGAUCGGUCAUCAGUAAUGCCGCGAUCACAGUUUUCAGAGCUCCUUCCCUGCCUUAGCCUUCUUGAUCCCUCAACAGCUCCUUGCAGGAGGGAGGUAGGGCAAGCUUUGUCUUAGUUUACAGAUAUGGAAACUGAGGCUCAGAGAGCUCAUAUGACUUCUCAAAGCCAUGCAGUUGAUGAGGGACAGAGUGAGGUCUAAAUGCAGGACCUCCCAAGAAUGGUGGACUUUUCCUCUCUGCCUUGUCCCCCCACUUCCUCUGUCAACUCUAGGAAAAUUGGUCUGGGGACCCCUGCAAAGGCACAGAUGGGAAUAAGCACCUUGGUCAAAGGAUGAUAAGGAAAAUGGUGGACAGAUGGGUUGAAGAAGGAUUGCUUGAUUGAAUUAUUGAGACCUUAUUUCCCUGAGCCUCCAUCAGGUGAUCCUUAUAUCUGUCCUGGAACACUAGACCACCCAGAAACAGGUGCAGCAGCCCAGGUCAGCCCAGGCUGCUCAGUCUGCUCCUCCUCUUGCCUCUCCUCCUCCAGGGAACUCUUUGAAUAAGAGGACACCAGAUCAUGCCUGCAGUUCCAGACCAGGGUGAGGUUGAAACACUUAUGCUUCCUAUUUAAAGCCACAUCUCAUUCAUCAUUUCAGCACCAAUCAGCAAUUAAACCUGAUUCAAUGGAGCCCUGACAGCUAAUUUAAACCGAGCCUCACAAUCGGCCUGACACUGGCUAUUUAAGACUCUGUCCUGGCCUCUGGGGCCUUUCGGAACCAGGACUGUUUGUCCUGCCAAGAGCAAAGCCCCACCCGCUGUGGCCUGGAUCCCCAUGUAUGUAGUGUGCAGGGUCUGUUCCAGCCAUCACUGUCUCUGCCCGGCUCCCUAUAGGGCUGUGGGAGGGUUCUGGGAGAGGUUGGGAAUGCCAGGAGGAGGAAUUGGUGAAGCGAAGAAAAGGCAAAAGCCCACUGAGAGGUCUAAUGAGCCCCAGGUGCACACACUUGUGUUGUGUGUGGCUUUCUUCAGGCCCUGGGCAAAUGUGGCAGCCUGGGGUGUAUUGGGAGCAUCAGAACCCAGGUCAAGUCCUGACUCUGCAAUCCAUAAACCAGUUCCGUGACCUUGCCCAGGUCCUUCCUUAGUUUCCUCACCAGUGUGGUGAGAAUAACAAAGAUCUCUUCUCAAACCGUCUCCCUGGGAGUUAAGAGAUUCCCCCAUAUCCGGUGAUCCCAGGUAAAGCACAUGGAAAACCACCAAGUCCUAAAGCAUAGAAGUUCUGAGCAGAGCAGGCCUGAGCUUGUAUGGGGCCUGGUGCUGUGGGGCACCAUGGCAGAUUCCAGCCUGUGGUCAUUAUUGGGUUGCCUGGUGUCCCUAUGGCUCUCUAGCACUGAUGGAAAACAGCCUUAUAUCACUACGUGUGGACAAUAACCCCUCCAGGCUGAGAACUUGGUUUUCAGACUUGUGUAGUCAGAGACCUCUUCCUGAAGGCAGUGUACUUGAGCCAAGCUUUGGAGGCUGCAAUAAUUGAGUAAGUCGGCCAGGCUCACACCUAUAAUCCUAGCACUUUGGGAGGCCGAGGCAAGUGGAUCACCUGAGGUCAGGAGUUCGAGACUAGCCUGGCCAACAUGGUGAAACCCCAUCUUUACUAAAAAUAAAAAUAAAAAAAAUUAGCUGGGCAUGGUGGUGGGGGCCUAUAAGCCCAGCUACUCGGGAGACUUAGGCAGGAGAAUCGCUUGAACCCAGGGGGUGGAAGUUGCAGUGAGCCGAGAUCGUGCCACUUCACUCCAGCCUAGGUAAAAGAGCAAAACUCCAUCCAAAAAAAAAAAAAAAAAUUGAGUAAGCCUAGAAUGAGGGAAGCCAAACCAGGCAGAGCCACUUAGAGCUAGUAGAGCUUCCACAGCCAUUUCCUACUGGAUCCUCAAACACUCCUUUUUGAGCACAUUGAGAGUUUCAAAGAUCAGAUGGUUGUAGAUGUGUGGUAUUAUUUCUGAGGGCUCUGUUCUGUUCCAUUGAUCUAUAUCUCUGUUUUGGUACCAGUACCAUGCUGUUUUGGUUACUGUAGCCUUGUAGUAUAGUUUGAAGACAGGUAGCUUGAUGCCUCCAGCUUUGUUCUUUUGACUUAGGAUUGACUUGGCAAUGCGGGCUCUUUUUUGGUUCCAUAUGAACUUUAAAGUAGUUUUCUCCAAUUCUGUGAAGAAAGUCAUUGGUAGCCUGAUGGGGAUGGCAUUGAAUCCAUAAAUUACCUUGGGCAGUAUGGCCAUUUUCACGAUAUUGAUUCUUCCUAUCCCUGAGCAUGGAAUGUUCUUCCGUUUGUUUGUAUCCCCUUUUAUUUCAUUGAGCAGUGGUUUAUAGUCUCCUUGAAGAGGUCCUUCAUAUCCCUUGUAAGUUGGAUUCCUAGGUAUUUUAUUCUCUUUGAAGCAAUUGUGAAUGGGAGUUCACUCAUGAUUUGGUUCUCUGUUUGUCUGUUAUUGGUGUAUAAGAAUGCUUGUGAUUUUUGUACAUUGAUUUUGUAUCCUGAGACUUUGCUGAAGUUGCUUAUCAGCUUAAGGAGAUUUUGGGCUGAGACGAUGGGGUUUUCUAGAUAUACAAUCAUGUCAUCUGCAAACAGGGACAAUUUGACUUCCUCUUUUCCUAAUUGAAUACCCUUUAUUUCUUUCUCCUGCCCGAUUGCCCUGGCCAGAACUUCCAACACUAUGUUGAAUAGGAGUGGUGAGAGAGGGCAUCCCUGUCUUGUGCCAGUUUUCAAAGGGAAUGCUUCCAGUUUUUGCCCAUUCAGUAUGAUAUUGGCUGUGGGGUUGUCAUAAAUAGCUCUUAUUAUUUUGAGAUACGUCCCAUCAAUACCAAAUUUAUUGAGAGUUUUUAGCAUGAAGGGCUGUUGAAUUUUGUCAAAGGCCUUUUCUGCAUCUAUUGAGAUAAUCAUGUGGUUUUUGUAUUUGGUUCUGUUUAUAUGCCGGAUUACGUUUAUUGAUUUACAUAUGUUGAACCAGCCUUGCAUCCCAGGGAUGAAGCCCACUUGAGCAUGGUGGAUAAGCUUUUUGAUGUGCUGCUGGAUUUGGUUUGCCAGAAUUUUAUUGAGGAUUUUUGCAUCAAUGUUCAUCAGGGAUAUUGGUCUAAAAUUCUCUUUUUUUUGUUGUCUCUGCCAGGCUUUGGUAUCAGGAUGAUGCUGGCCUCAUAAAAUGAGUUAGGGAGGAUUCCCUCUUUUUGUAUUGAUUGGAAUAGUUUCAGAAGGAAUGGUACCAGCUCCUCCUUGUACCUCUGGUAGAAUUCAGCUGUGAAUCCGUCUGGUCCUGGACUUUUUUUGGUGGGUAAGCUAUUAAUUAUUGCCUCAAUUUCAGAGCCUAUUAUUGGUCUAUUCAGGGAUUCAACUUCUUCCUUGUUUAGUCUUGGGAGGGUGUAUGUGUUGAAGAAUUUAUCCAUUUCUUCUAGAUUUUCUAGUUUAUUUGCGUAGAAGUGUUUAUAGUAUUCUCUGAUGGUAGUUUGUAUUUCUGUGGGAUCGGUGGUGAUAUCUCCUUUAUCAUUUUUUAUUGCGUCUAUUUGAUUCUUCUCUCUUUUCUUCUUUAUUAAUCUUGUUAGCGGUCUAUCAAUUUUGUUGAUCUUUUCAAAAAACCAACUCCUGGAUUCACUGAUUUUUCUGAAGGGCUUUUUGUGUCUCUAUCUCCACUUGCCACUGAGAGCUUAAGACAGCAGGACACUGGCUGGGCUCUCCUGAUAUCACUUGCUCUGCCCCAUUCUGCCCCAUCCAAAGAGCAGGGAAUACCAGAAGUAGGGGGUAGGGAAACAGGAGAUGGGAAAGUGGAAGGACUCCAGCAGGGGUCCUUCGUCUACAUUCCUAGUGCAGACCCUUCUGGAAGGAAAAAUACAUACAAAAGGUGCAGUUGGGAGGCUGAAGGGCACCACCCAACCCUACCACUGCCAGGAACCUGAGCUGCCCCCGACAGAGUGAGAGCGGUCUCAUGGGUCCCCAAGCUCUCUGUGUGGCAGGAAACAAUAGCCACUUUUCUGGGGCCUCCAAGGAGAGGAGGAGUGAGAUCACACCUGGGGAGGGUGAAGGCAGAAAUACAGGAUAUGAGCAUCCUCCCAGGGGAGCAUGCGGAGCCAGGAGCAAGGCCUGGGGCUGGCUGCCUCCUCCCCAGUGUCCCUCCUUCAUCUAGGUUCCUGGGCCACACACUCUGGACUACCUGCCUCUGCUGGGAUUCUUCAAGGGUCUCACAGACCCAAGUAGACUGUAAGCUGCUUGAAAGCAGGUCCACGGCAUCAGACUGUGGUUCAGGGCUCGGGUCCUGGAGUAGGGCAGGCCAGAGGCUGACCUACUUACUAGCUGUGUGAUUUUAAGCCAGUCCCUUAACCUCCUUGAGAUUCUCCUGUGCAAUGAAGAUAAAAAUAGGACCUAUCUCAUGAGAUCAUUGGGAAAAGUAAAUGAGUUAAUCAGAGUAAGUGCUUAACAAAAAUAUGUCCAUUGCAUGUGCCCCCAGAGCAACUAGCACCAGCCUCAGCAUGGAGCAGGACUUCAGUUCCAGCAGCGAGGACUGAGAUCAGACACAAGAGAAAGCUCCCUGAUGAGGUGGGGUGAUUCUAAAACGAAGGGCGGAAAUUAUCUGGGGAAUUUCCUUCCCGUGAAGCCUCAGGAACAUGCCAGUCCCCCACUUCGGUCUGUCCUGGGGGGUCUCACGCCCCUGUCCUCCUAGGGAAAUCUAGAUCCUCCAAACUCUGCCUGGGUUCUUCCUGGGGAGUCUUGACCCCUGCCUUGUGGUUAAUGUGGGAUAGGGGACCCGGGAACAGGGCUGCCUUCCUCUGGCCAAAGCCUGGCAAGCAAGUGUGGGAUGGGUGCUGUCUUCCUGAGAGGGACAAUAGAAGUGACAGAGCCCCCUAAUUCAAGACCCUGCAGAGUUGGUGUGAGAUCUUAUAAUAUCAGUCUCUAAGCCAGUGCCUCUCAAGCUCUCUGUGGUGAAGAAUCAAUUUUUAAAAUAUAUAAUCAGUCACAGAUCAAUGCUUUUGUAAAAUGCAAUAAAAGUUAAUUUCCAAAAAAAUGAUCACAUACUUGGGUACCAUGGUAAUGUCAAUGUAAAAUUGCUGUAAAAUUGUUCUAAGUGCUUACUCUCAAUGUCUGUGCUCAGCUUAUCAGCAACCAGUAACAGUUUGUACCACUGGUUUGUACCACGACAACCAUGCUACACUUGGAGCUGAUACUUUCAUAAAGGUUAAUUUCCCUCUUUUC
Pan troglodytes (chimpanzee) is the source of this 9825-nucleotide long non-coding RNA. RefSeq lists it as uncharacterized. NCBI's taxonomy places the organism in Eukaryota, Metazoa, Chordata, Mammalia, Primates, Hominidae. The transcript is spliced from 3 exons. The record is from RefSeq and is a predicted model, not a curated record.